This 460-nucleotide ribosomal RNA is filed under the name uncultured bacterium. RNAcentral's name for it is "partial 16S ribosomal RNA". It matches the Rfam family "Bacterial small subunit ribosomal RNA", at positions 338 to 795 of the family's 1533-position model. The record is from RNAcentral.
CCUACGGGAGGCAGCAGUGAGGAAUAUUGGUCAAUGGACGAGAGUCUGAACCAGCCAAGUAGCGUGAAGGAUGACUGCCCUAUGGGUUGUAAACUUCUUUUAUAUGGGAAUAAAAUGUUCCACGUGUGGGAUUUUGUAUGUACCAUAUGAAUAAGGCUCGGCUAACUCCGUGCCAGCAGCCGCGGUAAUCCGGAGGAUCCGUGGGUUAUCCGGGUUUUUUUGGUUUAAAGGGUGCGUAGGUGGGUUGUUAAGUCAGUUGGGAAAGUUUGCGGCUCAACCGUAAAAUUGCAGUUGAAACUGGCAGUCUUGAGUACAGUAGAGGUGUGCGGAAUUCGUGGUGUAGCGGUGAAAUGCUUAGAUAUCACGAAGAACUCCGAUUGCGAAGGCAGCUCACUGGACUGCAACUGACACUGAGGCUCGAAAGUGUGGGUAUCAAACAGGAUUAGAUACCCUUGUAGUC